RNAcentral lists this ribosomal RNA (679 nucleotides) under Streptomyces sp. YIM 63662. RNAcentral describes it as "bacterial SSU rRNA". It matches the Rfam family "Bacterial small subunit ribosomal RNA", at positions 56 to 752 of the family's 1533-position model. The record is from RNAcentral. Lineage: Bacteria; Bacillati; Actinomycetota; Actinomycetes; Kitasatosporales; Streptomycetaceae.
UGCAAGUCGAACGAUGAAGCCCUUCGGGGUGGAUUAGUGGCGAACGGGUGAGUAACACGUGGGCAAUCUGCCCUUCACUCUGGGACAAGCCCUGGAAACGGGGUCUAAUACCGGAUAACACUUCCGUCCUCCUGGACGGUGGUUAAAAGCUCCGGCGGUGAAGGAUGAGCCCGCGGCCUAUCAGCUUGUUGGUGAGGUAAUGGCUCACCAAGGCGACGACGGGUAGCCGGCCUGAGAGGGCGACCGGCCACACUGGGACUGAGACACGGCCCAGACUCCUACGGGAGGCAGCAGUGGGGAAUAUUGCACAAUGGGCGAAAGCCUGAUGCAGCGACGCCGCGUGAGGGAUGACGGCCUUCGGGUUGUAAACCUCUUUCAGCAGGGAAGAAGCGAAAGUGACGGUACCUGCAGAAGAAGCGCCGGCUAACUACGUGCCAGCAGCCGCGGUAAUACGUAGGGCGCAAGCGUUGUCCGGAAUUAUUGGGCGUAAAGAGCUCGUAGGCGGCUUGUCACGUCGGUUGUGAAAGCCCGGGGCUUAACCCCGGGUCUGCAGUCGAUACGGGCAGGCUAGAGUGUGGUAGGGGAGAUCGGAAUUCCUGGUGUAGCGGUGAAAUGCGCAGAUAUCAGGAGGAACACCGGUGGCGAAGGCGGAUCUCUGGGCCAUUACUGACGCUGAGGA